Molecule: ribosomal RNA, 465 nt
Filed under: uncultured bacterium
Lineage: Bacteria
Description: partial 16S ribosomal RNA
Rfam family: Bacterial small subunit ribosomal RNA
Source: RNAcentral
CCUUCGGGAGGCAGCAGUGGGGAAUUUUGCGCAAUGCUCGUAAGAGUGACGCAGCGACGCCGCGUGAAUGACUAAGGCCUUCGGGUCGUUACGUUCUUUCGCCCGGGAAGAAAAUGCCUAUAAUUAACUGUGUAUGUCUUGACGGUCCCUGUAUAAUCAGCUCCGGCUACCUCCGUGCCAGCAGCCGCGGUAAUACGGCGGGGGCGAGCGUUGUUCGGAGUGACUGGGCGUAAAGGGCACGUAGGCGGUGUUGUAAGUGAUUAGGCAAAGACUAGAGCGCAACUUUACUAAGGCUAGUGAUACUAGAAUACUAGAGGAUCAGAGAGGAUUGCAGAAUGCCUGGUGUAGCGGUGAAAUGCGUAGAUAUCAGGAGGAAUACCGUUAGCGAAGGCGGCAAUCUGGCUGAAAACUGACGCUGAGGUGCGAAAGCGUGGGUAGCGAACAGGAUUAGAUACCCCGGUAGUC